UAGUUCAAAAUGCAUAGUUCAAAAUGCAGUGCUUUAUCUUAAAAGUUUUGUUACAGAGUGAUUAAGAAAUAAUGUUUAAUUUUAUUAAAAUAAUCGAGAAAAGAAAAAUAUAUUAUAAAUAUAAUAUUUUCAAAACCAGUAAUCAUAAAAAGAAGCUCAAGAGAAAGGAAAAUUCUACAAGAAAGAAGACUCUCCAAGAAGAGCAUAUUUGCAUUGGAUGCAGUGUUAUUUUCCAACAUAGAAGUUAAUGCUGUAGUCUACAUGAAUCUACAAACAUGAUCAAACAUCUUCAACGGUAACACAUUGAAGAAAAAUAUCCUGCUGGCACGAAGAAGAGUUUCUACUAUGGAAUGGAAACUGAUAAGGAUUCCAAGGUUCUCUAAUGUUCAGCGAAUGAAAAAAGAAGACGAGAUGACUUUCUCCGUAAGCUGCAGAGGAAAGGAGAAUCCCUAAUGGCAGGAAACAAAACUGUACAAUUGGUAUGUUAGAAAUUUUUCAAAUAUUCUUUCAGAGAUAAUGGUGGUUCGAUAUGCAAAUAAUAUUUGCAAUAUUUACAAAGUCUUACUCUCAUAAAUGCUGAAAGUAUCGAAACAAGUAUGGAAAUAUUUUCAGGAAUUUUACAAAGUCUGCGAUAGCACUUAGUUCUUACUAAAAUGAAAUUUUAAUAUUUAAGAAUUGAAUCUCAUCAUUAGAAUAAAAUUUUAAUAUUAAGAAAUAGUAUUAGGUAUAAAUAAAUCAUAAAUUAAAUUUUAGAAAACGCAUUACUAUAAUUUAAAAAAUAUUCUUAAAAAACAUAACGAGGAUAUUAUCCAUAAUUAAUUAUAAGAUAAAAUAAUAAAAAAUCUAGUUAACUAAUAAUCGUAUAAACAAAUAAGUAUAAGUAAAAACAUAGUAUUAUUUUUUAAUUAGAUAAUAGUUUAGUAUUAGUUUAGUAUUUAGUAUAUCACAGCUUCUCAAAUCCCGUUUAUUCUAACAAAUAUUUUUAUAAGCCUGAAUGUAGAUUCUACACUUUCUUCUCUUUUACUAUAAUAAACUCACAGACAUAUCAUACGCGUAGUUUUGUUAAAUUGGUUUAGGAUUAAUUUUCGGUUUUCGCACGUCUAAAAAAUGUUUAAUUCUGCUGCAAUUUCUGUGACUUUUAAACUUAGUUACUCGCGAUUCACACUUUAAGAAGCCUGGACAUUUAUGACAUUUAAAUAAUAUAUUUGUAGUAAUAAUUUUAUUAUUAGAGAAUUUAUUUUAUACAUAUCAAUCUACCUAGAUUUCAAUUUAUAUUAAAACAUAUAUUUACAUUUUUAGUUAGAGAAUAGGUGAACAUGAACGCGGACAUUGUAUAUAAAAUAAAUUAUAUACAAGAUAGAAUUAGGAAUUUAUAAUAACUCAACAUACAUUAAUAAAAACAAAGAUUGUUAAAUAAAAUCAAAAUGAAAAUAUUUCCUGUAUGCAUUAUCUCAGGUUUAUAUAAAUUUAAUCGUUAUAAUUAUAGAUUUACAAAAAUGCAUGAACAUCAAAUUAAUAUAAAAAAAAAGAAAUAGGAAUAUAUUUUAUUUAAAAUGAAUUAUUUCAUUUCGUUCUUACGAUUAUUGUUUUAGACAAUAAAAAGAGUAUUUAUUUUUUUAUCCUAAAAAAAUAGAAAGAGAGUAGUCAAGCUGUAGGAUAGCUGUUUGCAUUACCGAGUCGUACGCUUGAAUGAUGCAGUAGCACGUUGACCUCAACUCAAGGUUAAGUUUACUAUCAUCUCGUGUUUUAUUAAUGCUGUUGCUUGUCCUACUAUCCAUUCUCAAUCUAAUACGGAAAAUAAAAAAUAAAAAUAGAAUUUUAUUUUUAACUGAUAACACAAUUAGUAUUUUAAAUAUAGAGAGAAAAUAUUAAAAUAAAAUAAUUAAAUUUUAAUAUCGCGCGAUAGAUAAAUAACUAGAGUGCCUAUUUUAAUUUUUACGUUUCUUUUUAAUCUUUUUAGCGAACUUGAUAUCGUUUAAACAGCGACGAUAUUCGUAAUAUUAAAUGAGAAUUCAUUUAGCAAGUUAAUUUAAUGAACAAAAUCCUUUUAUUCAAUUCGAGAGUAUAUAAAAUUGUUAUUAUAAUUUUAGUUUAUCUUGAUUAAAACAUUAAUUAAUAGAAUAUAUUAUCAAAACGCGCACACCCACACACGUACACGAGAAUUUCCAAUGUUAAAUACUAUCAAACGUGUAAUCAGUUUAAAUCAAAUAUUUUAUUUUCCGUAUUGAUUAUCGAUUAUGAGAUGAUAAUUUGAUAAUAAUUUAAUCGAGUACAAACACGUGUCAACGAAAUACAUAAAUUACGUUUUUGUUUUCAUUAUUAACAAGAUCUUUAAUCGAGUAAACCUCAAAAUACUUUUGUAAAUAAUUUUCAAUCGUACGAUUUAUAUCGAUUUAACCAUGCAAAUACAAAUUCAUAUUAAAAUGAUAUAAAUAAUAUACUUUGAUUAUAUGCGCGAAGCUAUUACGGAUUAUUAAAAUGAUUGAAUAUCGUAUUAACAAAAAAAGAAUUUUAAAUGUUCGUUCACGUGCAUAAAACGAAACCAUAAAAAUGUUUUCAGAAAUAAAUAUGCGUUUGAUUGAAA
Molecule: long non-coding RNA, 2584 nt
Filed under: Polistes canadensis
Lineage: Eukaryota; Metazoa; Arthropoda; Insecta; Hymenoptera; Vespidae
Description: uncharacterized LOC106791414, transcript variant X1
Source: RNAcentral